RNAcentral lists this unclassified non-coding RNA (240 nucleotides) under soil metagenome. Its description in RNAcentral is "partial contains 5.8S ribosomal RNA, internal transcribed spacer 2, and large subunit ribosomal RNA". The record is from RNAcentral.
AAGACUAUAGACCUGCGGAGUACCUGCGGAAGGAUCAUUAUCGUAUUGUAACAAUUGGGGGGGCCACCGUGGGCUGUCGCUGACCCUUUGAAAGGGGGGUCGUGCACGCCCCCAUAGUGUCAUCCUCAUACAAUCCAACUCACCUCAGUGCAUCACCGCGUGGGUUCCUUUCUGGGUCGAGUCAGACUGGCUCAGAAAAAAGGGGCUUGCGUUUUCCAUACAAAUACCCUUAUAAAUCCA